Molecule: long non-coding RNA, 265 nt
Filed under: Mytilus galloprovincialis (Mediterranean mussel)
Lineage: Eukaryota; Metazoa; Mollusca; Bivalvia; Mytilida; Mytilidae
Source: RNAcentral
CUUUAAAUAAGGUCAAAAACACAUAAUUCGCUAUAUGGGACAUGACCUUGACCUUUUGACCUUUGUCAAGGUCUUUAGUUCCCAAUGUCAUUGCUGAAGACCCCAUGGGUCUAGGACCUUUGGUCAUAUAGUAAAAGCUGAUUUUGCCUUUUCAGAAACCUAAAACAAGAGUUAUGCCCCUUACAGAAGAUCAAAUCUCUUCGGUCAAUAUGUAACAAAGUUGCGCAUUAAUGACCCAAACAUUUUCCACUAUACAACACUUCUG